Bos taurus (domestic cattle) is the source of this 990-nucleotide long non-coding RNA. The record is from Ensembl. Lineage: Eukaryota; Metazoa; Chordata; Mammalia; Artiodactyla; Bovidae.
GUGGAAUAGUCACUCCUGGGCUUCUGUUUGCCUCUUCAAACUGUGUAUUAGAAGGAAGUUUGCAUAACAUUAUGUGGACUGGACAGCUGGUGUUAUUUAAGAUGAACUAACCCGAAGUUAGUGCGUGAGCGGCUGUGACCAGCACACUGAGCGCUGUGGAGAGGAGCUACUCCAUGUCCGAGGUCAGGGACAUCAGCCAAGAGUGCCAGGCUGCAACAGCGCAGGAAUGGGCAAGAGGAGCUACCCCACGUGUGAAGUCAGGGGUGGCAGCAGCUGAGACGAGCUACCCCAUGUCCGAGGCCAGGGGCGGCAGCCAGGAGGACCUACCCCACGCCCGUGGCCAGGGCCCACGGUCAGAAAGAGCAACCCUACCUCCUAGAAGCGGUGGCUGCACAGGCGCAGGAAAGCCUAGAAGAGCUAUUCCAUGUUUAAGGUCAGAAGGGGCAGCGGUGAGAAGAUACCCCUCAUCCAAGGUAAGGGGCAGUGGCUGCGCUUUGCUGGAGCAGCUGUGAAGAGAUACCCCACGUCCAAGCUCAAGAAGAGACUUGAUCACCAUCACAAUUCUCACAUACCUCAGUUGGCCAGAGGGAUAAAGGAUGCAGCAUUUCUGUCUCCUCCGUGGGGCCAAAGAGGGCUCCUUUGUGGUUAACAGCAGUCCAUGGAGGACAGCCUGGGAGGAAACCUAAGGGCUGGCCUGGAACAUGUGCAAGGCAGUGACUUCAGAGACUCCCAGAACAGCUGCCAGACUUUUUGAUGGCAACUAUUCUGACCAGUGUGAGAUGGUACCUCAUUGUGGAGCAGCCAUGAAGAGAUACCCCACGUCCAAGAAAAUUAAGAAUAAGGUCACUAAAUGCUUGAGGGGGACAAAUCCAAAUCAUACCUCCCAAGACACAGUUCGAGCAAAUGCCUGCUGGUGUGUGGAGACAGAAGCAAUACACUGUGUGUGUCACUCUGCUGUGGACCACUAAUCGCUGAAGGCUAAGGGAGCAC